GGCCGCUAUAACCGUAAUUUCUUGGCCACUUACCUCGUUCCUCAUCUGAAGUUUUCAAAAUAUUAUAUACUAAUAAUACCAAAUAUCAUCAACCGCCAUUUCUGUUUUCAAGCACUAAAGUUCAGCUCUGGCCUAGCUAGUUCUUCACCAAAAUACUUUCCUCUCGCCUUCUCUGUAUUUUCAGGUAGAGGUAGAGUAUCGUCAAAAAUGUCGUCGACAAUGAAAGGAAUGUUUAUCAAGACUGCGCCGGAUUUUGGUAAUAAUCAGUGCUUAUUCAAGGGGAAGUAUAUCGAUCCGAGUGAUCAUUUUCUUUUUCGAGCGAACCGUUCUAUCUUACGCUUCACUUGGAAUCCUUAUCUCGUUUUCAAUGGUUUUGCUAAUUCAAAGAGCCAGAGAUUUGACCAGCCUUUGCAAGGCAGAAUCCGAGCGCAAGUUCUCACUCCGGUGUCUGAAUCGACCAUCAAAAAGGUCCGUCUAAGGUUAAACAAGUAUUCAACGUGCAAAGAUUAAUAAGAACAAGUUUAAUGCGAUUUUUUAUUAUAUAAUACUCAAAAUUAAUUAAGCUAAAUUUCGAGCUUAUAUUUAAAAAAAUAUAUGAUUUUAGGACUUAUCUUCAAAAUUUUCCACAACUUAUCAUUAGUUCUGGUGAUUGAUAAGUUGGAAAAAAAAAAAUCUGGUGAUUCACAUUACGGUUAUGUAUGGCAUUCUAGGAAUAUUCCCUGUGUAAUUAGCCUUUCCCCCACCCUCCAUUUUGUUGGGCCACCAGUUUGUUCCGUUUGGGAGACGCAUGGCCUGUGUAACAACUACCAACUGGGGCUGGAGCCCACUUUUUUGAGUGACGUGUCUCUCACUCACCUCCAUGGGAAUGAUGGGAUUGGUACUGUGCCUCUCACAUUGCCAUUGGGCUAGGCCGGCCUGGGCUGGUCCAUUCACCAAUGUUUUGUUCGAUGCAACAAUUUGGUCAGUCGCCAACAAUUUAUUGCGGAGUCAUAUUGAAAUCGGAGGGAAGCAACGAGAUCAUCUUUGGCAAUUUAAUUAAUUUCCUUUUAUUCUGCUUACUAGUGUCAAAGCCUGAAAAUUGGAACUUGAGCAAUUGUCAAGUGCUAAAGCUGGAAGUUCUGAAACAAGUGCAAGCUUUUUCUAAUUGAAUCUACCAGCUCUAGUACCAAAUUUCAAAUGUUUAAGCCCAAAUAUUUGAAGUUGUCAAUUUUGUAGCUAGACAGCCUCAACUUCAAAUUCAACGAUGGAAUUGGUAGACAAUAGUUGUUAUCCAGCUGAUAAAUGUGUACGGAUUAAUGCCUGCGAAAUAGUUCCUAGAGCUUCAAAGCUGAAACUCUUUUCUUCUUUCAUUUACAUAGCAAGUAUUUACUUUUGGCAAAGGAAGGAGCGAAGGCAACAAGAGCAUGAAGUCCUUAGUAAGUAAUCUUUGUCUAUAUUUAAACUAAGUAAUACUGCAUUUGAAGAGUUUUCUUUCACAUUUCACUUUUCUUUAGUUCGCAUCCGUCAUAGCAAAUGUCUUGUCAAGGAAAAUACAUUUUCCUCACAUCAUCUCUACCUAACAGAAUUUUGUUGGAAAGAACUAUAUUUCAUUUUACUGUCUAAUUCAUUUGAUGCGAUGAUUGUUUUUUCUUCUUCUUCUUAUAUAUCUUGAAAUAUGACAUAGAUAAGCAAUCCUUACUCCAAAUUAUUUUGCUUAUAUGAAGUUAUCCAUGUGUGCUUAUUAUAGUUGGGAGGGAAGGGAGCAAACCUGGCAGAGAUGGCAAGCAUUGGGUUAUCAGUGCCACCUGGACUUACCAUAUCAACAGAAGCAUGCCAAGAAUAUCAGCAGAAAGGGAAAAAAUUGCCAGAAGGUUUGUGGGAGGAGAUAUUGGAAGGCUUGCAAAGUGUGGAAGGAGACAUGGGAGCUUCCCUUGGUGACCCGUCUAAGCCUCUCCUCCUCUCUGUUCGCUCUGGUGCAGCGGUAAGAGUUUGGAAAGAUUAUCCAGGGCAAUGGCUCCUGAAACCACAGUCGACUCUAGCAGUCACUAUGACUAUGUGUACCUUCAGAGUGUUUAGACCGCCGCACAUACUAAUUAAGAUGUCAUCUGUUUGUCUAGAUUUCUAUGCCUGGCAUGAUGGACACUGUCCUUAAUCUUGGAUUAAACGAUGAAGUGGUAGUUGGUUUGAGUUUGAAAAGUGGAGAGCGUUUUACUUAUGACUCCUACAGACGUUUUCUAGACAUGUUUGGAAAUGUUGUAAGUGAUUCUUCUUGAUGCAGUCCAUAGAUUGGUGUAUCUCAUCCUUUAGCUUUUAUCAACUAAUGUGCUCCACUUCCAUAUAAUUACUCCAUUGACUCAAGGUUACAAAAAGAUGGAAAAUCUUAUGUGCAAUCUAUUGAUAUAUUCUUGAUUGUGAACUGAAACACAUUAUGUAUUCUUGAUAUGGAAUAGUCCUGUCAUCUUUAUCUCUGUUACUGAAUUUGUAGAAACAUUCUUCUACUUAAUUGAAGGUAAUGGGAAUCCCACACUCAUCAUUUGAGGAGAAGUUAGAAAAGAUGAGGGAUGCAAAGGGAGUCAAACUUGAUACUGAUCUAACAGCCCAUGAUCUCAAAGAGCUAGUGGAGCAAUACAAGAAUGUCUACCUUGAAGCUACUGGUGAAGAGUUUCCUUCAGAUCCAAAGAAGCAACUGCAGUUAGCUGUUAAAGCAGUGUUUGACUCUUGGGACAGCCCAAGGGCCAUUAAGUAUCGGAACAUCAAUCAAAUUAGUGGCUUAAAGGGAACUGCGGUAAACAUUCAAUGCAUGGUGUUUGGUAAUAUGGGAAAUACUUCAGGAACCGGUGUUCUGUUCACUAGAAAUCCAAGCACUGGUGAAAAGAAGCUAUAUGGGGAGUUUCUAAUUAAUGCUCAGGGAGAGGAUGUAGUUGCUGGAAUUAGAACACCAGAAGACUUGUGUACCAUGAAAAAUUGCAUGCCUGAAGCUUACAAGGAACUUGUGGAGAAUUGUGAAAUUCUAGAGCGCCAUUACAAAGAUAUGAUGGAUAUUGAGUUCACAGUUCAAGAAAAUAGGUUGUGGAUGUUGCAAUGCCGAUCUGGAAAGCGCACUGGUAAAGGUGCAGUAAAGAUAGCAGUGGAAAUGGUUAAUGAAGGGCUUGUUGAUAGUCACUCUGCAAUUAAGAUGGUGGAGCCGCAGCAUCUCGAUCAACUUCUUCAUCCUCAGUUUGAGGAUCCAUCUGCGUACAAGGACAAAGUAAUUGCAACAGGCUUGCCUGCUUCUCCAGGGGCAGCAGUG
This 3268-nucleotide unclassified non-coding RNA is filed under the name Hevea brasiliensis (rubber tree). Lineage: Eukaryota; Viridiplantae; Streptophyta; Magnoliopsida; Malpighiales; Euphorbiaceae. The record is from RNAcentral.